Molecule: ribosomal RNA, 301 nt
Filed under: uncultured bacterium
Lineage: Bacteria
Description: partial 16S ribosomal RNA
Rfam family: Bacterial small subunit ribosomal RNA
Source: RNAcentral
CAGUCGCCGCGGGAAUACGAAGGGGGCUAGCGUUGCUCGGAAUGACUGGGCGUAAAGCGUGCGUAGGCGGUUCGUUAAGUCUGUUGUGAAAGCCCCGGGCUCAACCUGGGAAUGGCAAUGGAUACUGGCGAGCUAGAGUGUGUCAGAGGAUGGUGGAAUUCCCGGUGUAGCGGUGAAAUGCGUAGAGAUCGGGAGGAACAUCAGUGGCGAAGGCGGCCAUCUGGGACAACACUGACGCUGAGGCACGAAAGCGUGGGGAGCAAACAGGAUUAGAUACCCCUGUAGUCCCUGUCUCUUAUAC